Non-coding RNA from Podarcis lilfordi (Lilford's wall lizard), 82 nucleotides. The record is from the annotation of a GenBank genome assembly. Lineage: Eukaryota; Metazoa; Chordata; Lepidosauria; Squamata; Lacertidae.
UCCCAGUAAAAAUGGAAGGAGUCUUUUUCAUAUGUAGAUAAAGAUAGAUAUGGAAAAGACUCCUUCAGUUUUUUUACUGGGA